GACGAACGCUGGCGGCGUGCUUAACACAUGCAAGUCGAACGGUGACGAGGAGCUUGCUCCUCCGAUCAGUGGCGAACGGGUGAGUAACACGUGAGUAACCUGCCCCAGACUCUGGGAUAACAGUUGGAAACAGCUGCUAAUACCGGAUACGAGACGGAGAGGCAUCUCUACCGUCUGGAAAGUUUUUCGGUCUGGGAUGGACUCGCGGCCUAUCAGCUUGUUGGUGAGGUAAUGGCUCACCAAGGCGACGACGGGUAGCCGGCCUGAGAGGGCGACCGGCCACACUGGGACUGAGACACGGCCCAGACUCCUACGGGAGGCAGCAGUGGGGAAUAUUGCACAAUGGGCGAAAGCCUGAUGCAGCGACGCCGCGUGAGGGAUGACGGCCUCGGUUGUAAAUUACUUUCUAACGGGACGGAGUAAUGACGGUACCGUACGAAGAAG
RNAcentral lists this ribosomal RNA (444 nucleotides) under uncultured bacterium. RNAcentral describes it as "bacterial SSU rRNA". It matches the Rfam family "Bacterial small subunit ribosomal RNA", at positions 28 to 490 of the family's 1533-position model. The record is from RNAcentral.